GGGAUGGUAGGAGGGAAGAUAGGUCGACAUUAUAGCAUGCAUCACUGCCCAUCGCAGUGUUAGUUUCCUCUUUCGUUAGCUUAUCUGGUUUAUAAUCAGUGGUUAUGAACAAUUUGUUCUAGUAGAUUGAGAUGUUGUUCAUUUUAUUGAUAUUGCAGUUUUCUCUAUUGUAUCUACCAACAAAAUGAGAGUCUCUUCAAUUUUUCAUUUUAACAAUUGGAGGUGAUAGCGUAUAAGGCUGAUAUAUAUGCAGCUGCUUCAUAAUGGCAUAGCAAUGAACUUACUGCAUGUUACCACUUUGUUUGAACUUUGGUGAGCUUCACUAGGCCUUUUAUCUAACGCAGGAGUAAGAUUCCAGUCAAGGGCACAGAUAGGAGCAUCCAGACCACAUCAGUAAAAUGUUAAGCGAUAACUCUUGUCAAUAUUCUGCUCACCUGUCUAUAAUCAGGAUGUCAGUUUUGCCUCACGGGUUAUCCAGUGGAAGCAUGUCCUGGAGGCGGUUUUCUAGCAACGGCAAAUUAAAAAAAUGUCAAACCGGUGUUAACAUCUCAGAAAGCAGCCGAGCAGAGAGCUGUAAUUCCCACCAGUACACGACAUGUCAUGAUUAUAUUUCCGUUAUUGGCAUCUAUGCAUGACUGGUUGGGACAAGUGAAGAUACAGCCGAAGUAAUUGCACAAAUCUCAGUUUCAAGACAUGCCGUUUAUGCAUUAAGCACACACACACACACACACACACACACACACACACACACACACACACACACACACACACACACACACACACACACACACACACACAACCCAACCCAUGUGUUCCUCAGUGCCAGGAAAUGUGACUGGCCAGGUGAGUCAUCUGAUCUCAGCCCGACAAAGCUAAUACAUCUUUUCACCUGCUGAAGACUGGAAGCUGCAAAAACGUCCUAUAAAAGAAACUCAUUAUUUUGUUUCAUGUCUGCUGGUCCCAGACUUCAGACAGUCAGUAGUUUGUCAUGAUUAAUACCAUUGUUUGUUCAGACCACUUGAACGAAAACACAAAGUCUUGACUACCACAUCUUUCAAUUUUGGUUUUCGGUUUUGGUUUUACAGAACACAAAUAAACCAAAUUCAUCUUCAGGAACAUAACUACAUAUAUGCGUAUUUAUAUUUCUUAAUGUAAAGCAUGCCUGAUGUUGUGCUGCUGUUGUGCUGCUGUUUUUCGUCUCCUAGUCCAAUUAGGAGCUGGGUCUUGGCCUGCUUUGCUGGCAGCAGCAGUGUUAACUUAAUGCAGCAUGAGAAAAUCAUUAUGCCACACUACAGAUGGGCCCAGUCAUGCAGAGGAACCUUUGCGCUCCCUUUGGAAGGCCAGUUUUAAGCAGAGGCACUAAUAAAACUCACACCCGACCGUUUGUUGAUGACAAAGAUGAGCAGGGCACUAUGGCUAAUGGGAGAGAAGGAUUGAAGGCGAAAGGAGAGGGAAAUAAGAUGAGAGGGAACAAAGAGCAAGCGAAGAGGGUAAAGAUUAAGAAAUGAAGUAGACCUCAGAGAGAACUAAGGUUUUGGCAAGUUUACUCAACAGCACAUACCGUUGGAAUGAUUGGUGGUUUCUAAUAGGUUCAGAUUCUCAGGAUUUCUGCCACCGCAAACAGAAACAUUUUGAUUUUUGAAGGACUUGGAGGAGGUCAAGGUCUGUGUUCCACUCCCAUCCAAAUCCAAGUAUUGAUCUUCGUAAUAAAUCCUUCAAAGCAGUUUUAGGAGGGCAAGAGAAAUCCUCUGCUUUCUCACAAAUACUGAUUCAAUAACCCCCGUGUCGUUCUGAAAUUCUCCUAAUACAUUAGUUCUUUGAGAAAUGGGUGAAGGAAAACAACAAUGCUGAAAAAGUAAUAAAGUGUCACUAAGCAUGAAAUCAGAACGCUUGAGUCUGAUGUCGGCAUCAAGAUAACCUUUGGAGCCUCGUGCCCUUGGGGUUCAAACAGGCGAAUAGCAUGUAAACAUGUUUUAUUACUGAGUAAAACCUUAAGAGGCUGUAGCAUGUCUGGACCUCCUUCAGGCUUUUAUUUGCCAGAGGAGGCAUUUUUCUCUAAGCUCUUAAACGUAAUGACCAUAAACAUGUAUAACUAAGUGCAUGUUAAUGCCAAGGAGGUUAGGGAGUAAUGGACUGACUGAAGCAUUAGAUGAAGCUGAUACUGUGCACAGCUGAUUGUGAGAUUGUGGUUGAACGGUAAAUCGUUCACCUGCUGCCUCGAGAAAGAAUCUUUACUGAAUUUAGCUUUGUUAAUUAGUUUAAUGGUUGACAGAACUUAACUUUGGCAAACAAGUUCAGUCAACGCAAUGUAUUAAGUUAACUCAACCUUUCAGUCACAAAAGCAGACAUUAACAUUACUCAGCUUGUUGAAGUUGUUUGGCUCUAAACUGGGUACAUAAAGUACACAGCAUUAAAGACUAUGUGAAUAACUAACAUCUUGAAAAUAGCUUAUUUUUUGUUUUGAAUGUUAUACCUAAGUGCAGUAGAAAUUGGUGAAACUUAAUUACUAUUAGUCGGUUCUUUUAUCUGCAUAAUGUUUUACAUACAGAGGCAGCCGGUAAAAGUGUCUACCCCCACCGUGUUUGGGUUUCAAAUCUGCCACGUCAGUGGCGGGUUUGUACUGCAGGAGGAGUGUGUUACGUCCUUCUGGCCUGUAGGUGGCGAUUGACUCCCACUUUUGGUCCUGAAACAUCGUAGUUGCUUACGUCAUAUAGGCUCUUGUAGAACAACCAAUGAUCAGGUCUUUGGUGGCCUAGUGGUUAACGUGCAUGGCCACAACGUUUUUUUUUUGUCCGGGGUUCGAGUCUGAGUGGAAGCAGUUUUUUUAUUUUAAUUAUUGGAAAAACAGCGUCUCAUCAUCAUCAUGUGAUCACGAGAUGACAACGUUGUAUUACUUAGUGCAUGAAUCGCCAAGACCAUGAACCGCUGGUCGCGUUAUAGUAUGAAGUUAUGAACGUAAGUAAAUUAUGGCAAAUUAUGGCAGUUUAAAACCGAAAAUAGGAAGCUGAACGGUGCGCCCUCCCGCGUGCAGCGUUCGAUUUAUGGCAGACAAGCUACUGUAACCCUGAUUUCUUGCUGUUGGUACGGGCAAUUUUCUUUACGUGGAAUGCUUCUUUAAUGCACCACACGGCAAGACAGUACGGCACAUGUACACUUUUUUCUUUACGCCGCUCUCACCCAACGCGCGUCACAUUUUCUUGUCCCCCGUCAACAAGGACAGGUAGGAACUAAUGUUGAUGACAAAUAAAAUCACAGUAGCUGAAAUGUCACGUUUCCCAAACAUAAAAUAAAAAAAAUAAAAAGGAAUACUAACUAAGGUUACACUACUACAAUUUAAAAAAGUGAAUAAGGAUGAUCUAGACCAGAGGUCUGCCACCGGUAACACCCACGUUUUAAAUGAAAAAAACAAACACUGGGAGCCGCGGAGGGCGGCAAUAUUAUAUUAUUUGAGAACAUUCAACAUUUGUUUUUUAAUCCAAAGAAGACAUAAAAGUCGGGGCUCAGAGAUCUAACCGAUGCUAAAACAUUGUCAAGGCAUCGACAAGGACAGCUAACUCGCUUUUCCCUGCUUCAAACAGCUGCUGUAACUGAGAGCAACCUGUGCGGCAUCACCGGUCAAUCUGUAAACGUAUUAAUUUUUUUUUGUAAAUAAAAAUAAUGUUUGCCCUGUUCAAACCUGCAUGGGGAAUUCUGAAAGCGGCUGAGCAACUUCGUAGGAACACAUUUCAUAUGGUACAGGUGAAAGGGAGACUAACAGCACAACGCAGCCGAGGCUGUAGCAGCAGAGAAACGCAGAUCUUUGUCCUGCGUGUUGAUGAGCGUUUCCCAUCCCCCAGUGUCACCGCUCUGGGACGUGGAUGGCCACGCCCACUUUCAUUCACCAGACGGACAUGAAAGAGGGAAUAACGAAAUAAACAGCUGGUUAACUUUGUAGGAACAUGGCUGUAGCUCUGCAAUGACUUUAUGUGGUACAGGUGAAAGGAGUAAUAACGAAAUAAACAGCUGGUUAACUUCGUAGGAACACCUUGUAGUAGGAACUGGUAUAUUUAGAAAACCCAGUAGUCCUAGUGUUAAGGUGUGUGAACUGGGGAGGAGACGGCAGCAGCGACUGAAGAGCGACUGAAUAGAGUUGAUGUCUUCCCCGCUGACAGGCGCAUUCAUUUGAUAAUGCACGUACCUUGGCUGACAGUUCAGUCAAAAACCAUACUGAAUCUUUAUUAAACCGUCCCUGAAUAACAAAUAUGAACUGCAGUUUCUUCCUUGAUUAUCCAUGAUUAUUAUGAAAGAAGCGCAAAUCUUCGCCAGUCCAAAUUGUGCAAUUAAUACUGUGUUUACAAUGAAGGUAAUAAAUAAUAAUAUUAGUAUUUUCAUUUUAAAAAGCACUGCAUAUUUUAAACGAAUGUCGAAGUGCUACAAAUAACUUAGACUACGCUACGAUAAAUACAUACGUUUAUUUUUGCAGAGUAAACGUAUGUAGAACAAACUACUUGCUGCAUUAAUGAGUCUUAGAUCUGCAGCUGAUCACGUCGCCCGAUGCUGCCCUGUCUCCCACGGAGCUUUGUCUGGAGCUGAGGUAUUUCUCACCUGCUGAUCGAGUAGUAGCAACACAUUAGCAUGUCUAUGCGCCUCUACGGGGAGGGGGAGGGGUGUGUACAUUUCCUUUGCCAUCAUCUGAGUACGAAACACAUCACAUUUCAUUCGAUCUCGUGUUUCAUUCGAGCGGCAGUCGGGAGCUCUCUGCUACGACUCAUCCACGGAUGAGCUUCGAUUAAAAAUUAAAAGCAGAGGUUUUUUGUUUUUCGUUUUUCUCUAAACGAAAAAAACAGCUUAAAAUUCAAGUCCGUGUGUUUUUGUUAAAAAAUAUUUUUGUUCGGUUUAUUGGUUUGUAAUGCGGUGCUUUUAUUCAGGAUAGAUAGACGGGUGGGAAAUCAAAGUUUUGAAACGUACACGGGCGAAUAAGUCACAUCAGCCACUCAUUCAGUUACAAUGACACGCACAGUCAAAACAAAUUCUCGCUACAUCUCGUGCACCACUGCCCCGUUCCUCUCGUAGCUUGCAUUUGCACAUCCAUACAUUUGUGUAUUGGUCACUCUCUGUCUGGACACAUGACUCCGAAACACGUCACGUGUUUGUGUAAGAGUUUGAUGUCUCCACCAAAUUAUAAGCAGAGGUAACGAGAGAACGACUUUUUGUUUUCCGUUUGUCUCUAAACAAUAAAAACAUAUUAACUCCAAUUCCGUGUCUUUUUGUAAAAAACAAAUAUUUUUGCCUGUUUUAUUGGUUUGUAAGGCGGUGCUUUGAUUAAAAUCCGUUUGCCGCUCAUCGAAAGAGAAACGAAAACGCCGGUGAAAGUGGCUGGAUGGACGGAUGGGAAAUGAAAAUGUUGAAACGUACACGGGUCGAAUAAGUGCUCUCAGCCUCAGUUACAAUGACACGCACAGUCAAAACAAGUCAAACUGCAGUUCUGCAGACACAGAGUAAACGCGUAGGAACAAACAUGUUGCUGUAAUGCGUCGCUGUAGAUCUGCUGAUUUCUGGCGUCCUGUCAAAAUUACGACCGACAACUGCUGUAAAACAAAUUCCUAUGAUUAUUACGGUUAUUUACGUAAAAUCUACGACUAUUGGAAAACAUUCAUUAACAAGUUGUGGAAGUUUAAAACCUAAAUAAGCGGCUGUAGUCGCAGAUGGACUGCGCUCUACGUCUUUACUUGCGCAUUCAAUUAUAUUAAUUAAACCGCGACGCAUAAUCAUGGUAUUAUGUGAAGCCAAUAUGUUGUAUCAGAUGUUAGAGCGGUGGGUGUGUACAUAUUUUUAAGAGACGCCUUCUAUUUAAAGACACGAAAAAGCUGAGGAGAAUGAAAACAAGAAUGUGUUGCUGCUGUGGCGCUGCCUGUUUUAAACCACACAGAACAAUUAUAACUUUGCAGUGAACAGAAAACAGCUAAGCCAUCAACAAGUUGUUGCCCUUCACACUCCCCAUGUUUGAGCACACAACAGAUACUUAAUAGUAAAAUAGGUCUGGUGUAAUAUAUGUGUGUUACAGGUAGAAAUGAACAGUCGGACCUCAGUUACGCUGUAGUGCUUUGGAGGCUUCUAAUCAACGCUGCGCCACCUGGUGGUUAAAACGAGACUAGCGUCCUGAUUUUUUCCAGCCGGCUGCAGGAUUAAAAAUCUUUAGUCAGCGACGCACUCGCUGCACCGUGGCGACGCGGCGGUACUGCAGUAAAAACCCUAGUCACUUUGAACCGCUGCCACUGUACCUUUCUCGAACAACCAGUUCCAGAUGGAUCAAUCUAAUCUUUCACGCGUCUUUGUGUACGGGUAGACAUCCCUGGUUGUCGUUAGUCAAGAUCACUCUACACGCAAGUCAUAUGAUGUGACGUUUGGAUUAGAGACAGCUCUAGCCAAGUUUGUUUGUUUGUUUUAUUCCAUCUUGACCAAAGCCUUCAUCCUGGUCACCUGCCAUUAAGCAAACAUGUUUAAAUGUCUGACUCACUGCCUGUACCAGUUUGGUGAAGGGUCAGUUCAUAAAUGUUGCUUUGUUUUUCCACUGGUCUGUCAGACACAAGUGCAAUUGAGAAAGCUGCAGGAUGUAAACCAGUACACAAGAGCCUGACACAUUUAUUACCGUACAAGAGUAACAUUUCUGACCUUUUACUGCAUUUCUUUCAAGACUACAUAAGUCCUGCUUUUAGCUAGUCAUAACUUUUUGACUAGUCAUAAACUUGCAGCCUGUUCCUGUCUGGGAAAGUAAUGAUUUCCUGAAUACUUAUCAAAGAGGAUACAUAGACUCAGGAAGUCAGUGUCCUUUUUAAAUGUACGAAAACACACAACAUGAUUCUGUGAUCACAUGCACAGAUUUUCCUUCUACCAGUUUAUUUUGUAUUCAUUCUCUAAAAGGAUCCCUUCACCUAUUGCAGCGCAUGUACCUUGGUCAGCUGCAAGCCUUUAGCAACCAUCGCACCCAGAUCUGCUAAGGCUGCCUCUAAAUAUUUGUGGUAUCCAUUUGCAAUUCUCUAGAAACAAUUGCAACACCAAGCCAUAUGCUGAUAACAAAGUUAAAAUCAUUUGUGGCGAUACUGUUAGAUGAAACCACCACUGAGAAGAAAACAUCCCAAAGCUCUAAACAAUUACAGCCAUAUCGCACACAAUCCCCGUGUAAACAGAGGCAGGAAUGCAGCGUGACUACGUUCAGAUACAGAUCUUGAGAAGUCAGAUCUCACAUAUGCAGGAGAGGCAGAUACAAGCAGCUCUCAAUAUUGGAAAUCGGUGGUGUUUAGAUCCAAGCACCCCACAGCGGUAGGUCUGGAUUGAAUUCAGCUCAGGUAUACAGCUCCCAGGGGUCCGCCCUGGCCCUGGUCUCUGUCACACCAUAGUCUCCUAGUUAACCUUUGUUUUAUGUCCUGGUAUUCUGUUACACGUGUGUUCUGACUGGGCAGAGGAACGGCACAGUUGCCAGUCAGGGGAGCGGUUGACAUUUUGGCAGUUGUUAAGGUUUAUGCAGCUCGCCCGCAGGAGGCAGUAGAUGGGAAAUAGAGGCUCCGACUGCACUGGGAUGACCCACGAGUCAUUUUGGAGCAAUUCACAUGGCGUUCCUCUGCAUACAUAAGUGAGGAGACCUUUUGGAAAUACUAAAAUAGGAAAUGCCACCACUUAAACUGCAUGUGAUUCGUAUCAACAGUGUCUGUCCAGAUCACAAUAUCUGCCAGGGACAAAUUAUAUAAAAUAACUUCAUGUUUUAGAUUAGUGAAAGACAGACAUUUUAGAGAUGACCCCAGAACCAACAGAGGAGACAAACAAAUGAAAAUUGCUUUAUUGAAAAUGCUUCGGGUUAUUACUUCGUAUCUAAAACCAUCACGCCAUCCAUUGCACAUAGUUGAUGAAGUAAACAGAUAUUAAAUGGGAGAAAUGCAGAUGUCCAAGAGCCUAGCUGCUCCUGGUGUCAGGUCUCCUUCCUGUCAGAAGUGAUCCGUCAUGGACCCAUCAUAGACAGACGUUCUCCACCCGACUCUGCAGUAAACCUGUAAUCCUCUUCCCUCACUUCUGUUGAUGAAUGGAUAAAAAGGAGGUGGAUGAAUUAAUAAGUGUUAGGGCAAUGAUAAUGGCGGCAGCAGCUAAAGUGUUAUUGAUGACUCAAUCAAAAGCGGCCAACCUCCAGCCAGCGCCCCUGUUCAGUAAUUAGUUGCAGCUUUCUAAAAUAGCAUUUCAUCUUCAUGCCAAAAAUGAGGAGUUGACAGCUAAUAUAUAAAACUCCUGUUUUCUGUGCCACUGGGGUCGUUUCACUUUGAUGAUGCAUAAAGCAGAAAUCUGUAACUCAGCUUUUAAACACAAAACCAGCAGCCUUGGUUCUGCUGGAGUGGGCAGUAUACGGCAAAGUGCUCAUGUUCACUUCUGACUGUACACAAGGGGGAAUUCAACGGCUGUUUAUUUGAGCGUUGCAUAUAAUCAAUGUAUUAUUAGAGAAUGUAUUAAUGUAUAUGUUUUGCCUUUAAUGUUUUUGGGAAUGCAAACGCUCGGCAGCAUUAAGAGCACACACGCCACUCUUUCUCUCCAGUUUCCAUGCGCCAGCUUACUGUCUGGGCCUCGGAAUGAAUGACCCAUCAGUCAUGCUGUGUCCACACACGGCUCUGACAUGGCCUGUUUGGACAGGUGUGUGUGGGUGCACAUAGGUGCGGGUGUGCGUGGGUGUGAGUUUGCCUUUUCUACUGGCCUGCAAAGUCUUUUGAGACCUAGGAUCAGGGAGCAAUUCAUCAGUUUGCUCACUAUCUUUACCAACGUUUCAUGAAGAUAUGAAGCUCCUCUAUUUGUCUUUUCACAGUAAACUAGAUCAUCAGGGCAGAAGGUUAAACACAGGUCUUAAUCAGCAUCAAAGCAACGUUGGACCUUGGCAGAUUCUGGGAUUGUAAAGCGUGGUUGUAACUUCAGAAACUGCAGGUUAUGAGUUCCUGCUGCAGUAUAUGUACAUGUGUAAAACAGAAAUCUGUGUCUGCCUCUUUCUGUUUGCUUUGGACACAUUUACAUGUGUAGUAGUACUGUAGUUCUUUGCAUUCUUUAUUUGCUUUUGUUGAUCUGGCAGUAGUAGUAAGGGAUGGCAUAUGCUUUGUUUAUCAUCUUUGGCGCUUUCUUCGUGUGAUUCUGAGUGGAGCCGACACAGUCGAGUCCUGUAAGAGACUCAGAAGCGGAGCACAGGUGCAGCUGGUGAGGACAACCAAUAAUGUUUGGACUCGCGUUGCAUUGGCCAAGAUGCUGUACAAGCCAAGGUUCUGCCAGACGGAGCCCUCGGGCUCCCGGCACAGUUUCAAAUUGGUUAUGAUUACAUGUUUACAAGUGUAGCUUUUGUCACCUGAUCAGUAAUGAGCCUGGUACAUGAGUGGCAGGUAGUGAGAGUCUGUUCUGGAUAAUUACAUGAGGUGGACACAUUAAUACAAAUAAUUAAAAAUGACAGAACAUACAAAUAUUUGUUAUUAAUAAGGCCUUGAUUUCAAAGGCUUUUGUCGGCUUUCAGUUUUCCACCUCUCAGGGAGGGAUUUUGGGAGCAAUAGCUCAUCCCAAAUACCAGAUGCUGACCCUAAGUGCCUCUGUUUCUCAUCCACUGGUUUGUGUUGCAAGCCGCCCCCUGCUGCCAGCACUCUGCAGCCAGCAGUGUGUUAUGAACAACCUCGGUGUCAGCAGGCAUGUGCAAUAUAACACAAACGCGUCCAGUAUCCGCUUCCCACUGUUACAGGCAGCGCGGACGGGGGAGCAGGGUUUGAAACUGGGUUUGGAUGCAGCACUGGGUGUGAACCUGUUGUGGUUUUGUGCUCACGCUGUCUUUCUACUUUUUGAAUCCUUUCACUGUGUGUGUGUGUGUGUGCGUGCGUGUGUCUGUGUGACAGUCCUAGUGGAAGGACGGACAGAUCCCCUGUGUGUGUGUGUGUGUGUGUGUGUGUGUGUGUGUGUGUGUGUGUGUGUGUGUGUGUGUGUGUGUGUGUGUGUGUGUGUGUGUGUGUGUGUGUGUGUGUGCGUGCGACAGUCCUAGUGGAAGGACAGACAGAUCCCCUGUGUGUGUGUGUGUGUGUGUGCGCGUGCGUCAGCGCGGUGUUGCAGGUAGGUGCCCGGGCUUUUGGAGGCGGAGCUGAUGACACUGUGUUGUUUGGCCUCCCACGCUGCCCUGCUCUGAGUCACGUAUGAGCCACUAACACAAAAGCUGUGGGAGAGCGGAGAUAUAUUUUGCUGGCUCCACUUAUCCCGGCAGACACAUUUAUCCACAGACAGCAAUUCUGCAGCGGAGAUGAGUACAUUACUGUAAAUAUCACAGGAAAGGUGCCGGCUGCUGGUUGCUACUCUCUGGACCUUAAUUCCUCCGAAUCACAACUAACGUUUUUCUCGUGUUUAACCCCAGAUGUCUCCGCGCACACAGCUUCAGAUUGAAAAUGCUUUUGAGGAAACCCACCUGUAAAAUGUCAGCGGCUUUCUGUGGCAUUACAUUUAUUCUGUUUCUGUUUCUCACCCCGUGUCACAGCUGAGAGGUGGUUUGAAGCGAGUACAAAGCUCCAGCUGAAAGAUCUGCCACACGGCCGAUCAUCACAAGACAGUUGUGUCAGGUUAAAGUGUAGAAUGUAGAGUUCCCACUACAUUAAAGGGGCUGAUGUACAUUCCUACAUGCAGUCGUAGCUCAUUGGACUCCAGCAUCCAAAACAAUGACAGGGGCCACCUCCAACAAAAGGCUCAGUCUCAGCCAAUGGGAACAGGAACACUGAAAAACAUAUCUCCUCCUCCAACUGCUGCCUAAUUCCUCCCCAUCUCUCUCACUCUCACACACACACACACACACACACACACACACACACACACACACACACACACACACACACGCUCUGCUCUCUCCUUAGUAGAGUCUGACAGCUCUCAGGGAAGGAGGGAUUUCGCUCUGCUCUUUCCACAUGACCUCCUCUAAACUUGGGUCCUGGACUUAACGCACAGAAGGAACACGCAGGGGAACAGUGUUGCAAAUUUGUCACCCAGAGUGUUAAAAUUCCCCCAGGAAUGUUAAUCUGACCAGUACUCCCAGCACACACACACUCCACUAAUCCUCAUCCCCACUGCUUAAGCCAGAUUUGGUUGUCGACCACUACUACUGUUGAGACCGCGCACAAGCCCUUUAGCUCGAAAUCGUCAAGUCUUCCAAAUAAGACACCAAAAUACACUCAAAUGUAAUUUAGCUUCCUGCUGUUUUUAAAACUUACUUUAGUAACUAAAUGAGGGGGAAGAGUUCAGAAAAGUUGAAUUUCCUCUCUUUUUUGUGCAUCAGAUGAAUAAUGCGACGGUGAGAAACUCUGAGGGAUGAAGCUCAUGUUGCAGACUGUUUAACACGUUAACUUGUCAUUUCCGUUUACCUGUCUGAGAACUGUGUUCACACAGCUCUUCUGAAACACAACGUGAGUGCCUCCGGGGAUUAUUGUGUAUUACUUUCCCGUGUUGUGUACGUGUUUACUGUAUGUGCGUCAACAUUUUGAAAACGAGGCGGUGUUUACUUGCAGAAUGACUUCCUCUGGUGUUUGCUUGCAUCCAUUCUUACCCCAUCGCACGGAGAGAGAGAAGCAGGAGGCAACUCGGGACUUUUUAACUUCUUGACCUUCAGACAUGAUUGGAUCUGUUCUCCUGCCAAGCCAGACAAAAGGCUUCUGAAAGCACAGAGUGCGCUCAUGGCCGGGCCUUCAUGUAGCCAUGGAUGGUAGGAAGGAGGAAGGGGGGUGCAGAGAGGGAAAACCGGUGGAGAGAAACUGGUAGAGAGAGAGAGAGAGAGAUGGUAGGAGAGGCAGUCAUGUCAUGCACAACAUUUAUUUAUUCAAACUGUCCAUCUGUUGUGUGGCUUCAGCUUGGCUGGUGUACAGCUCACACACACACACACACACACACACACACACACACACACACUUUGCAUGCACUACUUCCUAAUGACGAGGCCGCUAAAGCCUUGUUGAGCAAUGUUCCAAUAUUCUUCCGAGUAAUACAGGUUCCUAUGAUGGGUGCUUCAUGAGUAUUGAUUUUUUGUCAUCUUGUUUGCCAAACAGGCAUUUCAUUACACAGCAGACCUAAUUAUCUGCACAACAAGGAUACAAGAGUGGUUUCCACCUGCUCCUUCACAAAGGCAUGUACACAUGCGUGUCUGUGUUUGUUUUACAUUUUGCGGCGUGUUUGCUUUAGCUUCACGCUGCUCUGCAGAAUGCCCUGCUUAAAUUCUGACUGCUCAGUUGUUCGUCGCAAGAUUUGUGUUGACUGAAAACUCACUUCAGUCAAAUCCAGCAGAUCUCCUAUGGUUAAACGUUUGGCAAAAACAAACGGACUUAACGAGAUUUAACUGGAAUCAUUUUGUGGAGAGGACUGUCUCCGAAUUAUCAAUAAUCAUUCACAGCUGACGGCAGUUGCAAAUUGAAUAGACUCGUCAGGUGGCAGGAAGUCACUCAUACCAUCAGUGUCCCUGCUUGUGCAUGGCUUGGGGUGGAUGAUAGAAGAGUGCAACAGAGGCAGCUGUGCAGACAGAGUCUAUGAAGCUCAUACGCUGUGACCUUGUGCAGUGUUGAUGCGUCUGUGCUGUUUGUGUUACCAGUCGCUCUGAUGAUGAUGUGAUCCUUUGUUGCCAACCCAGUGCUGGACAACAGGAAAGCCCACACCAAACACAGUGAAGGUUUAUGACCGGCAGAGCACAUGCACAGGCACGGGUUCAGUCACACAAAGGCACCGCCACCCACAGGAACACAAUGUACGCUGACAACACAGGGAUUAGCUCCACUGUCCCUGAACGCAUCACUCCAGCGUUACUGCUGGUAGACAGCUCACACUGGCGUCAUAUGGUCUGUUUCAUUUACAGGACAAGUGACUGUUUCUCUCACUGAAGCAGAGCGGAAAUACCAGGUAACUGAUAAUAACGCUUAGAAGGAACUGGUGAAAUUCUUCAAAGUCUUGAUGGUAAAGAUAUGAGAUGAGAAUGUGUAAGGAAGUAUCAUUCUCUAAUGACAAACAGGAUGUCCAUAAUAUGUCAGUUGUAGGAUAAAUGAUGCAAGUAGAUACAAGUAGAUAGUAAGUAGAUUUACAGUAGAUAGACACAAGUACAGUAUAGGCACUAAAAUACCAAUUCAACAAUUCCCCAGCACACUGUGCUGGGGAAUUGUCUCUAUUUCCAACUUGCUCUUUCCUUCACUAGUGCCCUCAGCCUGAGCAAAGUUGAUUCAGGCUUUAUCAAAAGUAUCAGGUGCUGUGAUUGAAGGCGGUGGCAGCGCUGGAGAGGAAAUGCAGGGAGAGCUUUACAAGAUGAGACCUGGCAACAUCGGCCAGCGCCGCGGACUGAUAUCCCUGAUGAAAUGUUCUGGGAGAGCAUGUGGUUAUUACCCCAGCGGAUGUUAUUGUACAAAACCGAAGACGGGUAAUGAAAUGAUGUAUGGUCUUUUACUGAGCAGACGGGAGUGUGUGCACUCCGCUGUCUGUUAGCGCUUCUGUGUGUGUUAAAUGAGGAACCAGGCGGCACCAUCUGCCUGACAGCGGCAACAAAAGAUGAUGAGAUUGUGUCCGAGAGGAAAUCUACUUGUGUUUGCCUUUAGCGCGCGCACAAAAGGACGCACAGCAGCGUUUUUUUUUUCAUAAAAUGUGUCACCUUACAGCUUUCUGAGGGUGCAACAUACAAGAUAGAGCAAUUUGCUAGACGUCGACUGUGACACGUUACCGCUCGGCUUCCCUUUUUGCAGGGGAUACGGGGACGGGGGCGUGCGUGCGCGGGCGGAUGUGCGAGGCCGGACAGGCUCACGUCGUGUCCUGCAGUCUCCGGGCCGAGCGGCUCUUUGUUUGACGCCUCGGCUGAAAGCGGAGCGCUGCCAGGCACGUCCGCCGCUGGCGGACGAACAGCGUGUCCCGUCUCGGUCGGCCCACCUCCCGCGCCUCCAGCCAGCAGCGAGGGCGGCGAACGAACGAACGAGCGCACGGUGAAGACACAGGGAGAGGCCGAUGAAGGGAAAGAGGGGAAGAGAGGAAGGAAUGUAUCAGGUUUGCCGGUUCCUGCCAAGAAACCCGAAGCAGUCCGACAUUAUUGGCAUUUUUCAUGUCGAGAUCAUCCACUCGACUCGCCCGGCGUUCAGGUUGCCAGAUGCUUCCUCGGAGAGCUCCAGUUUCACUUAGAGAACAGGUCUUUGUCCCGGCAGCGGAGAUCUGUUGCGCCUUAAUUUUGUCGUAACGCCGCGCGCGGGAUGGAGUGGCCGCGCACACGGUAACAUUAUAGUGUUGAGGAGUUCACUACGUGUCAGUUAUUUUUAUUUAUUGCAGCUCCGGUGACAUGGUUAGGAAUGUCACAUCAUACCUUUUGUGCUUUGCUAGAAGCACACAGUCGCGUAAUUGCGGGAGAUGGAAAGGGAUGUGAGGGCAAGAGAGGGAGAAAGGACAGAUGGCAUGUUAUGUGUCAUGGAGACCUCAGCAGAUGUUUACUACCGGGGAAGAGGAAAACGUGACCAGACAUCUUAAGGCUCUGUUGUGUGGGGCCACUGGGAAUUGGACUAAAUUAAUUUAACAUACAUUAGCAUUGCUUCCUCGAUUCCAAGUCAGCCCUACUUUACUAAUUAUUUGCAACUCUUUUCAGCUCAAUUUGAAUUCUCAGAAGGCCCAUUUUUAAAUAUGCUGCAAUUUCAAACUAAAAGAAUUCUUGUUUUUUUACUAACGUAGACUGCUGUGGGGCAACAAAGGAGGGACAGAAUUUUAUUAAAAUCUUUUCCCACAGGGGGCAAAAAUAAACCGUGGCAAAUAGAGCAUAUCUUCUGCAUCUUUACGUCUGCACUUCACGUCUGCCUCACAGAUUUAUGUCCCCGACAUGCUUAUUAUAGCGCUCAUGACUUUUAACCUAGUCUUUGUGCACUUAAAUGUACAUGCAUGAUGCAGAGCUGUUACAUGCUGAGACAAUGUGGCACAGCAGCCAUGACCUAUUAAAUCUCCAUUGUUAAUACACAAAGAAAGAGAGAGGAGUACGUGUGCACACAUUUGAAUGAUCACUUGUGUACGGCAGUGAGAGAAAAUGUUCAUAUGAGCAUACACACGGACUGUGUUUGUGCACGUAGGAGUAUUUCUGCACCCUUUUUCUCUCCAGUGACAGUGACGCAAAGGUUUCAGAGCCAGACUCACUUCUAGCUUUUACUUGCGGUUUGCCACUCCCUGACUGAUAGAAUGCAUCAGGACCUGAGCUAUGCGGUAAUAGCACUGGCGCGUGGGGUGUGUGAUCUGAUGGCAUAUUCAGGUACGAGACCUAUGGGCAAUGACCUUCAAGGGAGUUCCCGAAGCUUUUUCUCCUGUAGAAAUAAACAAACAUUUUUUUUGUUGUUGUUUCAGAGCAUUGCCAGUGAAAUAAUAGACCUGUGAGUCAUGGGAUAAAACCUGCAUAUAGACAUAACAAACGUGCCUGCACAAACACAGCUGGAGCCAAGGAAUGACUCUCCAUGUCUCCGCGAGGAGGUACUUAAAAUCACUGGGAUCAGCACAGAUGUUCCCAAGUCUUAGUCAAUCCAAAAAGAUUACAGCACAGCACAGUGAGAUGCAUCCAGUAUGAAGUUAUUUAGUAAGAUCCACACAUCCACAUCCACACACAUGACAGCACAUCACUUGGGCCCAGCGCCUUAGGCCUGCGUGUGUGUGUGUGUGUGUGUGUGUGUGUGUGUGUGUGUGUGUGUGUGUGUGUGUGUGUGUGUGUGUGUGUGUGUGUGUGUGUGUGUGUGUGUGUGUGUGUGUGUGUGUGUGUGUGUUGGCAACCUGUUUGGAUGGUGCUGUUCCAUCUGCACCUGGGUGGGUGGAGAGUCGAGGGCGGGGCUUAAAGUUAAAGUAUGUAUUUGAGAUACGUUUUUUCUUACAUGGCUUGUGGAUUAUGUUCCAUUACCAUUACUAUGAUGCAUUCAAAUCAGCUGUGAUUAUUUUAGGAGCAGGGCUACAGUACAUUCAAUGUGUGUGGACAUAUAUUUACAGUAGCUUGUGUUCUAAUGUAUGACAUGUUUCUCUUCAGUGUAUUGAGCUGGAGAAAAGCUGACCAAUCAGAACGCAGCAUUAUGGAUAAAGGGCUCAAACAAGGCUUUUCAGUAUCAAGGCCGCUGGAGCCGCUGCAUGAACAGGGAUUAGAACAUGUAUUCGCCGUUUUUUUAAAUAGAAGAUGAUAUAAUCAUGUAACAGAGGAAAAAUUAAAUUACACAUAAUUUGGUUUCAUUUCAGCUUCACUACAUUUCAGCUAACUUGGGAACCUACAGAAUGUCAACUCGUGGGUCUAAGCUGUGGAUGAUGUGCACCAUUAAGACAAAUUUGUGACGUUAUACUUCACUAGAUUAUCACUUGAGCAGCACAGUUGUUUCAAACCAGCUCCACAAUGAGCUGCGAGAGUGACUGUACAUGAAUGAGAUGGAGGAGGAGACAGGUAGACGGAUCAAGUGUGGAGGUGUUUUUGUCUAAUUUAUAUUGUUGUACGAGUCAAUAGCAGGAUGUUAGUCGCACACCGCUACUGUACAGAUGCAGUGAGAGACAUCAUUAAGGAAAAUGAAUUAUGCUGCAAAUUGCCUUCCUGUGGGACGAGUUUGCAUUCAAAUUUAAAUUUAACUCUCAAUUAAAAAAAUCUUGACUUUGUUGUCACUCCAUCUUUGAACCUCCCCUCCCCCUUAAUCCUCCACUUUGGUGCCGUCACUCUUGCCGCUUCCUUCUGCCUGUGCUACCUCCGCUAUCGCACCAGAUCCAAUGUGGCGGAACAGUGGCUGACGUCGGCUCUUCUCCCUCUGUGUUGCAGCAGGCCCUAAUUGCUGGUCUCUCUCGCACACAGAGAAAUGCUUUAUCUCUGGCUGGCCAUGACGCACUUCAGCUAGCAGACCAGCAGCAGCACAGGCGUCUGCAACCUUCACAGUUAAAUGCCCGCCGCCACCCUCUGCAUCCACCACAGACACCUUAAAAGGCUCCAAUUAAAGCAUUACAGCAAGGAAGGGAGGAAGAGAAAUGAGGCAGAGGAUAUUUCAAAGAGAGUGAGAGGAUGAGCUUGCAAUGAAUUAGAACUUCUGUAUUGUUUUGCCAUGCAUGGGGGGAAAAAAGCCAAAGGGAGGUAAAUGAUAAAGACAGUGAAUAAACAGCAUGAGAUUUCUUGGUAUUGCAGAAGACAGAUUCACCCUGUAGCACCAGACCAAGCGUGAAUCCACAGACAGAAGGACGGAAGGAAGGAAGGAAGGAAAGAAAGGAAAAAGAGGAGAGAUAUUGAGGCAGUGAUUCAAACUCCUUUACAUCUUCUUGUCCACGGAGCCUGAGGGUAAAGGAAAUGGCAGAAGGCACAGGGAGAUAAGAGCCUUUGUUCUACGGAGGUGUAGAGAUUUUUACAUUCCACUAGAUUGCCUUGCACUCAUGUCCAGCUUGGCCGACUGGAAAUGAAAGAGAAUAAAAGGAAGUUUCUGUGAAGGCCAGAUGCCAGGUUUUAUUAUGGUCCUGUGUGACGGCUGCCUUUGGCUAUUUUUCAGAGGCUCUCCUUGCAAAUGCCCGUUGGAAAUCUUUCAGUGGUUUCCGUGGGAAAUGGUCUUUGCAGAAGUCACGCACAGAAGUUGUCAUUUUGAGUUGAACAGAACAUAAAAUAUAGUUGUUUGAUAUGUGGCUGCGAGGAAAAGGAAGUUAAAGCUGUCUAGCAGAGAGUUCGAUGAGAAGAUUAACACCACUGUCACAGUAAUUGUCUGUUAAGUACAGUAUAAGGCCACGGAGCUCAGCUCCAGCGACGGACUGGAAACACAACCAACGACGAUGACGCUACACUUAGCAGCUUCUCUAGAGCCGUGUAAUUAACAUGCUACUGUACAUCUCCUGAUUCAUCCACAACACACAUCUCGCUAUGAACAGUACAGCUUCGUAUUUGACAGCGUGGAGAAGUCACGUGCUUUAACACGCAGGGCGACGAAUAAUGGGUCUGAGACACAAAAGUCGAUUUAGGAAAUAAUCUCCAAUUGUGACCAGACGUGCACUGACUCACAGAAGCAAUACAGUUGUUGGUUUCCGCUGCCACAUGAACAGGAAGUGACUGAUGAAGUCAUUUGACUAGCAGCAGACACGCGGCUCAAUGUAUCACCCACCUAUGUUGCACAAUUCAUUAUUGGCCCGUGGCUACCUGGAGGCUUGUGGUACAUAGUAAUACCGUCUGUUGUGCUCGUCAUAAAUUUAGGCUCCCGGGCAAUACGGAAAUCAGCGUCCGAGAAGUGCGCUACCUAUUUACCCAAGGCAGCCGAGCGUUGAGCCAUCUGUGCCCGCUAGUUCAUAUAUUCAGCAACGCACCCCAAGGUGUGAUACAUCAGAUCUAACAGGCUGAGGGCAGGGCCGGCGUCAGCCAUUAUGCAGUCAGAGCGGUGGAAAAUGACACAAGAUGCCUCAUUCUGCCCCUCUCUGCAGCCACGCCAAAAGGUUUUCUUGGCAUGGGGGCGUCUCAUUCUACAUAAUAGCUUUGAGUUUUACAUGGGCAACAAGUCAAGCUGGAAACACUGAGUCAUGACCUGCCUUAUCCAGGAAAAUUGCUACUAAUAGGCUACAGUAAGAUGCUCCUGAUCCCAGAGUCAGUCCUCAAACAGGAGUCUGGCGGACAUGCAUCACACUUUGUUGUAACAUAAAGCCGGGGCCUUCAGUGUCUGCCGGGGAGGAAGAGUUAGGGUUAGAGGCCCAGAUAAGAUAAGAAUGACAGCAGAGGGUGGGGUUGUUUAAUUGUGUUUAUCCAGAGCUUUUAGUCUGUGUGUUUGUGUGUGUGUGUGUGUGUGUGUGUGUGUGUGUGUGUGUGUGUGUGUGUGUGAGAGAGAGAGAGAGACAGAGAGCAUGGUCUGCAGUGAAGCAUCUCUGUGGGUCAACACGGCCGGGGAGCGAUCUCAGUUCAACCUGACACCAGGGAGACGGAUCACCGUUGAGGCGGGUGGAGAACCAACAAAAACAGGACGUUCACCGGUGUUUGUUAGCAUCCUGUUCCAUCCUGCUUCAAUACCACGCGUCAGUGGGGAAGAUGGACGGGAUUCAUCCCCAAACCAAACGCAGAAUCACCCCCUUGUGUAUUUUUAACUCCACAGAUGCAGCCAUUUCCACCCACUCGCUCAUACAUCCAGGCAAUCCGGGGUCUCCGGAGGCACAGACGAGCUGAAGCGCCAUCCGUGUUUCCGCUAAUAGCACAAAACACCCCACUAAUGGACAGAAUGCUUUAGUACCAAUUCCAUCAUUCCUGACAUGUGUAUACUGAAUCUUUUUGUUAGCUCCUGUGUCACAGAGGUCACUGAAGUAGCCGACUUGCUGACUGGGGGUGGACUGGGAAUGGACCCCUCUAAUGCAACUCAUACAUUACCUGUAAGCUGUUAGGAGGUCACCACCCCAGGGCGCAGAUGGAUGAUAAUGCCCUCUAUUGUGAGGUGUUGCUGAGCUAUCACUUAUCUGGUGUUUCUGAUACUCUGGAAGUGCCGUUUACCUCCUCAGACAUUGUAGACAUUGUCUUCCUCUUAAUUGAUUAUUGACAGAGACAGACAGACAGAUAGAGAGACAGACAGACAGACAGACAGAUGGAUAGAAAGGUGCAGCAAGCAUUGGCUCAGUGUGCAUCCUCCUCUUUCGCUCUGGGGCUUUCUAUGAGGCAAGCUAAGGCAAGAUCCCACCAACACAACAUGCACAGUUUUGUGCCCAUACAGUAAACACACACACAAACACGCACGCGAGCGAACGAUUGACAAUGUGUCUCUAACUGGAAUUGGGAAGUACUGUAUGACGAGUGGUUGUGACAAAGGGGGGAUGCGAGAUCAAGACAUCAUCAGCCACGAUAAAACAGCGUGCAGUGAUUUAAUCCUGCCUGGCCCACAGUGUUAGCUUUAAAGAAACCACACGCACCCACAAGAACAAUUACACAAGCAGUGGUGAUAAUAACAGACAGAGCUCGUCACUCAACUCACCUGAUAAAGCUUCCCCUGUUCAACUGUAACCUGGUACGGUCUGUACUGUUAAGCAGAAGUCAGUGUUUUUCUUAUGUUUCAUAUAAUGUAAUGUGUAAUACUACAUAAUUUAUUUAAGGCCCCAGCUGUAGGAGAGGGACAAAGAGAGACGCAGACUCGUGUUGUAUGCACAGGUGACACAGAAUAAAGAAUCCUUAUCAUCAGAGCUAAAUCAUUCUUACAUAUAAUACUGUUGAAAAUGAGGGAUUAGUCUGCAAACCAUACACCGGCACAAAAAGAUCAAGUGUCUCGUGAAAGGAAAUAAUUAGGGUUAUGACUCAGGCACGACAUGCUUGUUCUUCAUAGAAGAGAAGAAAAACAACACUGAAAGAAGUCUCAUUGUUCAACACCUCCACAAGAAGAGAUCAUAGCACACGAAAGGGGCGUAUUAAUAAUAAAUGUUUUCAUAUGCACGUGGUCGUUAGUGAGGCGAAUUCAUGCAGAAUCUGGAUGAUCGUACUUACAUAAAAUGAGCAUUACUGAUUAAACGCUUUGCAUCUCUCCUUCAUUUAACUGUUUCAUUCAUUCCGGCCGAGACCAUCAAAGCGAAACCUACAUUACUCUGAGUGUUUGUCGAGUGGAACCAUUUAUUUUAUGCACACUUGUGUAUUUAGCAUUUUCCAUUUCAUUUGCAAAUAUUCUAAUUAACAUAUACCAUCGGUGGGUUAUGUAUGGACUAGUAAGCCAAGACUAGUGGAACAGGAGCGUGAGGUGGCGACCAGAGAGAGGCGUGUGUGCCAGUGUUUAUCUGUCAUCACAGCGCUCGGCUGGUCCCUCUUUGAUUGAUAGAGGUAAAAGCAUUUCAUCACCCUCUAUAACAAAAGGAAACGCGCUCUGUCCCCUCCAGGAGUUCAGAGAGCUGCAGAGCUGUUUUAACCUGUCUGGAAUUCCCUGCAGUGAUAGAAAGAUAGGACCAACGUCUCCACACUGAGCGUGGAAAAGGACUCUUUCAUUUGUGUUUUACUCGCACCAUGGCAGCGCUGUACAGGAAAACUGAAUCAGAUCCCACACAGGUGGAUGGAUGAAUUCCACGAGAGAAUGGCUCAGCAGGAUGAACACAGCACUGCUGUUCUGUGCUGGAGGCUGGAGCAGUGAGGGCAACAGGGAGAGCAAAGGUUGCCAUCCACCGACAGGCCGGGGCAGAUGACAUGCAGGGAGGGAGAGUCGGAAGGAUCCAGAGAGUAUAAUACACAGUCUCAUGUACUGCCUAAAGCAAGACAUUUCCCUGGAGAGGGUAUUGUUGACAACAUGACAUAAAGUUAGAGAGAGGCAGAAAAAGAGACAAGGACAGAGGGAAGAGCGAGGAAGAUAAUCACCUGCUGUAGCCAUGAGAGGGACGGAGACGAGAGCGCGCGUGCGAUGCUCAGCUUGUUGAGCAUCACUCAAAGACGUCGUCUUCACACAAGUGCAAAAUCACCAGCGUCAGCUGCGCUUUGAGGGAGCACCGGGAUCUGGGGAAUGCGAGCGUCCGCCUCGCUUUUCUUGGCACGUCGCGAGUGACACUGACUGACGGACGGCGCCUCUGGGAGACGACCAGAGGGUGUGAACCGAUUGAUACGCUCACGCUGACAGACGACCCGGCCGAGGGUGUUGGGCUUUGUUGCUGGGCCAAGGCGCUCAGGAGGAGCUGGUGAUCGUAUGUCAGUAAAACGCCUGUCUCUGAAGACGCAGACAUGAAGACGAACAUGAGAAUCCAGAGAAAGGAGGAUGUGAGCUUCCUCCUUUUGCUCACUUGGGAAAGUAGCCAGACUUCAGCCUCGGUCUCACUGCACUCGCUACCUGCUCCCAGCCCUGCUCAGCAUUAUCUGCUUCAGUCGUGAAAGGAGAUGCAUCGGAGGCCCGGGCGUCUCCAGCCAAGUCACAUGCGCCCCAUCUACCUCCAGCACUCAGCCGCAGCCAGACCCCGUGGUGGUCCAAGGGAGCUAGGUGGAGCUGGUAAUGCUUCAACCGCAGGGUGUGGAUCAGCAACGACCUGAUUAGUCAUCGGCCCUGACCCUGAGCGAGCCCAAGUGGCUGGAAUACAAAUGAAUCCCCAGGGCUGCUGGGCAGUAAAUCUGAUUCAGGACCAGUGUUUAUGGCAUUCAACCCGCACCACACAAGGCCGCCCUGGAUGGGCUCACUGACCCUUAACGGUGACUUCACUCAAAGCAGGGGAAAGGCUUUUGGGCGGGGUGUUUGCCUGACUGAUGGCAGUUAACAGUAAUUAUAAGACUGAGGUUAUAGGAAUGAUGUGAUGCUUCCAAAACACUUCAUUAAAAAGGUGUUGUGAGGUCUACACUGUACAUCUGUUAUACAUCUAGUGCUUGUUUGGGUGAAGCUGUGCGUAUCAAUAAAUUAAAUGGGUAAAGCCUUCGCUGCUCUGGGAAACUGUUAAUAUUUCACCAACAUGAAGCCUCUCCGUCUGUUCCUCCUCAUCUAACGGCUGCCAGGGCCCAGCACAUCCGGGGUGCUCGGCCCCCGGCUUCAUAAACAGGUGAGGAAUCAUUUAAACAGGCCGAGAUGCAAAUGGGUUUUUGUAAGCGUUGCCUCAUUAUCUCACUUCAUCCACAGACACACAGAUCCGGACGCGGCCUGUGUGACGCCAAGGUCGUGAGGGUGCAGACGCGACGAGGCCGGGGCGAGAUCGUAUAGAUCGUCUGGAAGCUGGGCCAUUAGCGAGGCACUAAUUAGGGAAGACCGAGCGAUCCCCAGCAGUGGUCGAAGCGAGGAUUCAUAAAUAAAUAAGCGCCGGGGCAGCUUGGCCACUUAAUUAACAAAGCGUGAAAAAAAAAAAAAAAAAAAGCGGCGUGAAUCCCAGGAGGUGCAAACUCGGUCUGCUUGGGCGGAGGAUGGCAUUGAUUGAUGGCAAGUCAAAUUGAAUCUCUAAUCAUCAUCACCCUUUUAGUUGCCGCUCCCCCGGGGAUCCGCCGAGGCCAAAGAGGCACGGGGGAGAAUGCGUCUGCAGCCCU
Long non-coding RNA from Betta splendens (Siamese fighting fish), 22906 nucleotides. RefSeq lists it as uncharacterized. The record is from RefSeq and is a predicted model, not a curated record. The transcript is spliced from 8 exons. Lineage: Eukaryota; Metazoa; Chordata; Actinopteri; Anabantiformes; Osphronemidae.